This 443-nucleotide ribosomal RNA is filed under the name uncultured bacterium. Its description in RNAcentral is "partial 16S ribosomal RNA". It matches the Rfam family "Bacterial small subunit ribosomal RNA", at positions 338 to 795 of the family's 1533-position model. The record is from RNAcentral.
CCUACGGGAGGCAGCAGUGGGGAAUAUUGGGCAAUGGGCGCAAGCCUGACCCAGCAACGCCGCGUGAAGGAAGAAGGCUUUCGGGUUGUAAACUUCUUUUCUCAGGGACGAAGCAAGUGACGGUACCUGAGGAAUAAGCCACGGCUAACUACGUGCCAGCAGCCGCGGGAAUACGUAGGUGGCAAGCGUUAUCCGUAUUUCCGGGGUGCAAAGGGCGUGUAGGCGGGGACGAAAGUCAGAUGUGAAAACCACGGGCUCAACCUGUGGCCUGCAGUGGAAACUGUGGUUCUUGAGUACUGGAGAGGCAGACGGAAUUCCUAGUGUAGCGGUGAAAUGCGUAGAUAUUAGGAGGAACACCAGUGGCGAAGGCAGUCUGCUGGACAGCAACUGACGCUGAGGCGCGAAAGCGUGGGGAGCAAACAGGAUUAGAUACCCCUGUAGUC